CGGUCCAGACUCCUACGGGAGGCAGCAGUGGGGAAUAUUGCACAAUGGGGGAAACCCUGAUGCAGCGACGCCGCGUGAAGGAAGAAGUAUUUCGGUAUGUAAACUUCUAUCAGCAGGGAAGAAAAUGACGGUACCUGACUAAGAAGCCCCGGCUAACUACGUGCCAGCAGCCGCGGUAA
RNAcentral lists this ribosomal RNA (179 nucleotides) under uncultured rumen bacterium. Its description in RNAcentral is "partial 16S ribosomal RNA". It matches the Rfam family "Bacterial small subunit ribosomal RNA", at positions 327 to 523 of the family's 1533-position model. The record is from RNAcentral.